Molecule: long non-coding RNA, 1485 nt
Organism: Dermacentor albipictus
Lineage: Eukaryota; Metazoa; Arthropoda; Arachnida; Ixodida; Ixodidae
Source: RefSeq, a predicted model, not a curated record
GAGCGAAACCGGCCGCGCAUCUGAGUGUUGGCCUGUUCGGUCACCCGUUUGCCUAUUUUUCUAUUUUUGGAUUUACCCUGGUUUCGUGGGCUCCCGGCAAAUUAUUGCGCCCCUUCUGAACUUCGGCAUGACACCACUGCACUAUUGGACUGCGGCAAGGAGGCACGGUCGCCGGUCCUGUCGUGACUCGGCGAAAAUAGCUCGGCCAUGGUGACAGUUCGUUUGGCGCGUACUGAAUCUCACUGCGACAGGGCAUUGAAUAAGAACGUGCAGGACUGUGAGGUUCUGGCCGCACUUACCACAAAUGGGAGGAUGCCCCCCAGUCAAGAGGAUGGACUCCAGGGCUGAAGCCUGCCUGUAUGCAGCCUCCCUGUGCAGCCUAGCCUCGGUCGCCAGCUGUUCCAGGGCCACGGCCUGGCGGGUGGCCGCAUCCCGGAGCUCCGGAAUCAGCUGGAAACGGAAGAAAUACGUCGCCAUUGUCACCUCGGAAUUCUUCACAACCGACACUUUGCUGGAGCUUCUGCGUAUGCAGAGUCUCAGCGUGCACAACACUUUUCUCCCCGCUGAAAAUCCACCGACCCAGCGGCAUCCGUCAAUGGUGCCGAGUUCAGCGCACAACCAAUUCCCAUUGUUUGGACAGACCAUAGUGGUGCCGGAAUUCAUUUUCUGCCACCUCCUUAAACGCAUCUCACACCUCCAAGCACCUCUUCGUAAGAAGAAACCAAACAGCCCUUUUCAGGACUAUGCACCAGUUUGCCUGGCGGACGGUUGUGCAGUAUCAGCGAUUCUCUGUCCUAUAUACUGCUCCAGCAUGCAAAACAUACCCCAACCAAUGAUCGAAGAAGGCGUGCAGAUGUGACGUUAUAAUUUCAAAAAUGUACAUUUGUGCUUGGUGAGUAUGCUAAGAAUUUCGUUCCUUACAUACUUAGGUUUCUUUUUCUGAAGAAGCCUGCAGAUAGUGUAUGUUUGGUACAAAUUAAUUUUGAAGAAAAUACCUAAUAGAAAGACGCUCCAUCGAAUAUUGUAAGAUAGCAAAUAUUCGUCCAUAAUGUUUCUUAUUUUCCAUUUGCCCACAUUCGCCAUAAAGGUUUUGUUUAAUUUCAAGGCAGAAUAGCUGUUUAUUGCACUUCGAAGUUAUUAAAAAAAUUUCGCGGCAACAUCCAUUUGCAUCCUAUCUCUUUUUGAGAUAUAUCCGCAGUGCACAGAAAUAGUAUCCACGAACCGUAGCCGCCGGCGGCACUUGGCGACGCCUUUGGCGUUGUGGUGCUGAAAGCAAACAACUUGUGCUAUUUUUUCAGAGCAGAAGCCUAUGUAGCUCAUGUUUAAAAGGACUGACACAGUAAAAAGCAUCACAUGCCGAUGGCUGAUUCCAUUAAACUGUUGAUAUUGGUACAGCUAACAGGACAAGGUGACUCCAACUUACGAACUGGGCACUCAGGCACUCCUCGGCCACACCAUCGGCACCGCUUGCAACGCUCUGAAAAG